Molecule: ribosomal RNA, 1541 nt
Filed under: Vibrio alginolyticus
Lineage: Bacteria; Pseudomonadati; Pseudomonadota; Gammaproteobacteria; Vibrionales; Vibrionaceae
Description: bacterial SSU rRNA
Rfam family: Bacterial small subunit ribosomal RNA
Source: RNAcentral
AGAGUUUGAUCAUGGCUCAGAUUGAACGCUGGCGGCAGGCCUAACACAUGCAAGUCGAGCGGAAACGAGUUAUCUGAACCUUCGGGGAACGAUAACGGCGUCGAGCGGCGGACGGGUGAGUAAUGCCUAGGAAAUUGCCCUGAUGUGGGGGAUAACCAUUGGAAACGAUGGCUAAUACCGCAUGAUGCCUACGGGCCAAAGAGGGGGACCUUCGGGCCUCUCGCGUCAGGAUAUGCCUAGGUGGGAUUAGCUAGUUGGUGAGGUAAGGGCUCACCAAGGCAACGAUCCCUAGCUGGUCUGAGAGGAUGAUCAGCCACACUGGAACUGAGACACGGUCCAGACUCCUACGGGAGGCAGCAGUGGGGAAUAUUGCACAAUGGGCGCAAGCCUGAUGCAGCCAUGCCGCGUGUGUGAAGAAGGCCUUCGGGUUGUAAAGCACUUUCAGUCGUGAGGAAGGUAGUGUAGUUAAUAGCUGCAUUAUUUGACGUUAGCGACAGAAGAAGCACCGGCUAACUCCGUGCCAGCAGCCGCGGUAAUACGGAGGGUGCGAGCGUUAAUCGGAAUUACUGGGCGUAAAGCGCAUGCAGGUGGUUUGUUAAGUCAGAUGUGAAAGCCCGGGGCUCAACCUCGGAAUAGCAUUUGAAACUGGCAGACUAGAGUACUGUAGAGGGGGGUAGAAUUUCAGGUGUAGCGGUGAAAUGCGUAGAGAUCUGAAGGAAUACCGGUGGCGAAGGCGGCCCCCUGGACAGAUACUGACACUCAGAUGCGAAAGCGUGGGGAGCAAACAGGAUUAGAUACCCUGGUAGUCCACGCCGUAAACGAUGUCUACUUGGAGGUUGUGGCCUUGAGCCGUGGCUUUCGGAGCUAACGCGUUAAGUAGACCGCCUGGGGAGUACGGUCGCAAGAUUAAAACUCAAAUGAAUUGACGGGGGCCCGCACAAGCGGUGGAGCAUGUGGUUUAAUUCGAUGCAACGCGAAGAACCUUACCUACUCUUGACAUCCAGAGAACUUUCCAGAGAUGGAUUGGUGCCUUCGGGAACUCUGAGACAGGUGCUGCAUGGCUGUCGUCAGCUCGUGUUGUGAAAUGUUGGGUUAAGUCCCGCAACGAGCGCAACCCUUAUCCUUGUUUGCCAGCGAGUAAUGUCGGGAACUCCAGGGAGACUGCCGGUGAUAAACCGGAGGAAGGUGGGGACGACGUCAAGUCAUCAUGGCCCUUACGAGUAGGGCUACACACGUGCUACAAUGGCGCAUACAGAGGGCGGCCAACUUGCGAAAGUGAGCGAAUCCCAAAAAGUGCGUCGUAGUCCGGAUUGGAGUCUGCAACUCGACUCCAUGAAGUCGGAAUCGCUAGUAAUCGUGGAUCAGAAUGCCACGGUGAAUACGUUCCCGGGCCUUGUACACACCGCCCGUCACACCAUGGGAGUGGGCUGCAAAAGAAGUAGGUAGUUUAACCUUCGGGGGGACGCUUACCACUUUGUGGUUCAUGACUGGGGUGAAGUCGUAACAAGGUAGCGCUAGGGGAACCUGGCGCUGGAUCACCU